GAAUGCUGACAUAAGUAACGAUAAAGCGGGUGAAAAGCCCGCUCGCCGGAAGACCAAGGGUUCCUGUCCAACGUUAAUCGGGGCAGGGUGAGUCGACCCCUAAGGCGAGGCCGAAAGGCGUAGUCGAUGGGAAACGGGUUAAUAUUCCCGUACUUGGUGUUACUGCGAAGGGGGGACGGAGAAGGCUAUGUUGGCCGGGCGACGGUUGUCCCGGUUUAAGCGUGUAGGUGUGUGUUCCAGGUAAAUCCGGUUCACUUUAACACUGAGGCGUGACGACGAGGCACUACGGUGCUGAAGCAACAAAUGCCCUGCUUCCAGGAAAAGCCUCUAAGCAUCAGGUAACAUCAAAUCGUACCCCAAACCGACACAGGUGGUCAGGUAGAGAAUACCAAGGCGCUUGAGAGAACUCGGGUGAAGGAACUAGGCAAAAUGGUGCCGUAACUUCGGGAGAAGGCACGCUGACACGUAGGUGAAGUGAUUUACUCAUGGAGCUGAAGUCAGUCGAAGAUACCAGCUGGCUGCAACUGUUUAUUAAAAACACAGCACUGUGCAAACACGAAAGUGGACGUAUACGGUGUGACGCCUGCCCGGUGCCGGAAGGUUAAUUGAUGGGGUCAGCGCAAGCGAAGCUCCUGAUCGAAGCCCCGGUAAACGGCGGCCGUAACUAUAACGGUCCUAAGGUAGCGAAAUUCCUUGUCGGGUAAGUUCCGACCUGCACGAAUGGCGUAAUGAUGGCCAGGCUGUCUCCACCCGAGACUCAGUGAAAUUGAACUCGCUGUGAAGAUGCAGUGUACCCGCGGCAAGACGGAAAGACCCCGUGAACCUUUACUAUAGCUUGACACUGAACAUUGAGCCUUGAUGUGUAGGAUAGGUGGGAGGCUUUGAAGUGUGGACGCCAGUCUGCAUGGAGCCGACCUUGAAAUACCACCCUUUAAUGUUUGAUGUUCUAACGUGGACCCGUUACCCGGGUUGCGGACAGUGUCUGGUGGGUAGUUUGACUGGGGCGGUCUCCUCCUAAAGAGUAACGGAGGAGCACGAAGGUUGGCUAAUCCUGGUCGGACAUCAGGAGGUUAGUGCAAUGGCAUAAGCCAGCUUGACUGCGAGCGUGACGGCGCGAGCAGGUGCGAAAGCAGGUCAUAGUGAUCCGGUGGUUCUGAAUGGAAGGGCCAUCGCUCAACGGAUAAAAGGUACUCCGGGGAUAACAGGCUGAUACCGCCCAAGAGUUCAUAUCGACGGCGGUGUUUGGCACCUCGAUGUCGGCUCAUCACAUCCUGGGGCUGAAGUAGGUCCCAAGGGUAUGGCUGUUCGCCAUUUAAAGUGGUACGCGAGCUGGGUUUAGAACGUCGUGAGACAGUUCGGUCCCUAUCUGCCGUGGGCGCUGGAGAACUGAGGGGGGCUGCUCCUAGUACGAGAGGACCGGAGUGGACGCAUCACUGGUGUUCGGGUUGUCAUGCCAAUGGCACUGCCCGGUAGCUAAAUGCGGAAGAGAUAAGUGCUGAAAGCAUCUAAGCACGAAACUUGCCCCGAGAUGAGUUCUCCCUGAGACUUAAAGUCUCCUGAAGGAACGUUGAAGACGACGAC
Molecule: ribosomal RNA, 1581 nt
Filed under: Salmonella enterica subsp. enterica serovar Enteritidis
Lineage: Bacteria; Pseudomonadati; Pseudomonadota; Gammaproteobacteria; Enterobacterales; Enterobacteriaceae
Description: partial 23S ribosomal RNA
Rfam family: Bacterial large subunit ribosomal RNA
Source: RNAcentral